Molecule: ribosomal RNA, 429 nt
Filed under: Bacteroidota bacterium
Lineage: Bacteria; Pseudomonadati; Bacteroidota
Description: Bacteroidetes bacterium partial 16S ribosomal RNA
Rfam family: Bacterial small subunit ribosomal RNA
Source: RNAcentral
UAGGGAAUCUUCCGCAAUGGACGCAAGUCUGACGGAGCAACGCCGCGUGAGUGAAGAAGGAUUUCGGUUCGUAAAACUCUGUUGUUAGAGAAGAACAGCGCAUAGAGUAACUGUUAUGCGUGUGACGGUAUCUAACCAGAAAGCCACGGCUAACUACGUGCCAGCAGCCGCGGUAAUACGUAGGUGGCAAGCGUUGUCCGGAUUUAUUGGGCGUAAAGCGAGCGCAGGCGGUCAAUUAAGUCUGAUGUGAAAGCCCCCGGCUCAACCGGGGAGGGUCAUUGGAAACUGGUUGACUUGAGUGCAGAAGGGGAGAGUGGAAUUCCAUGUGUAGCGGUGAAAUGCGUAGAUAUAUGGAGAAACACCAGUGGCGAAGGCGACUCUCUGGUCUGUAACUGACGCUGAGGCUCGAAAGCGUGGGUAGCAAACAGG